This 1788-nucleotide small RNA is filed under the name Pongo abelii (Sumatran orangutan). Its description in RNAcentral is "retained intron". The stretch from base 1187 to 1303 matches the Rfam family "Metazoan signal recognition particle RNA". The record is from RNAcentral. Lineage: Eukaryota; Metazoa; Chordata; Mammalia; Primates; Hominidae.
GGGGCUUUGCGGACGCAAGCACGUCGAAGCGCUGCUCCGGGAGCCGCGGAGGCUGCGGGUUUGGCUGCGGCGGUUGCUGUGGCGGAGGUUGGAGGUUGGAGAGAAAUCCAGGUACUCACUUGACUGGUACCUUCUGCCACCAUGGGGGAGCUUUUCCGGAGUGAAGAAAUGACACUGGCCCAGCUUUUUCUACAGUCAGAAGCUGCUUAUUGUUGCGUCAGUGAAUUAGGAGAACUUGGAAAGGUUCAGUUCCGUGACUUAAAUCCAGAUGUGAAUGUUUUCCAACGGAAAUUUGUGAAUGAAGUUAGAAGAUGUGAAGAAAUGGAUCGAAAGCUUCGAUUUGUUGAGAAAGAGAUAAGAAAAGCUAACAUUCCGAUUAUGGACACCGGUGAAAACCCAGAGGUUCCCUUCCCCCGGGACAUGAUUGACUUAGAGGCCAAUUUUGAGAAGAUUGAAAAUGAACUGAAGGAAAUCAACACAAACCAGGAAGCUCUGAAGAGAAACUUCCUGGAACUGACUGAAUUAAAAUUUAUACUUCGCAAAACUCAGCAAUUUUUUGAUGAGGUCAGACUAUUGUUUCUUUUAGUAUUUGAGCAGCUGAUAUUACACUCACACAAGUGGGCCAUAUUUUUAUUCCAGUAAUUAUUUUAAUUUGCUAGUUUGGAAGCAAUGCCAUUUUUGCGCCCUGUUUUAGUUAAAGAAAUGUGAGAUUAUGUUCCAUUUUUCAUGCAGUACACAACCAGCCAUGGUUUUGCAUUUUUUCACAUUUUCUUCAAUUUUUCAUCUCAAUAUGAGGAAAGGAACCCUGAAGUAGUUGUAUAAACAUAGUUAGUAUAAAUUUUUACAUUAUAUUUAUACUUAUAAGGUAAGUAUAUGCUUAAGGUCAAAGCUGAAGAAACAAACAUUUGGUUAUAGACAAAAUUAUAACAAAGGUUUAAUCACCAAACCUUUUGUCAUCAAAUUUUUAUUUCAUUCCCUAUGUUUGCUUAUAAACCUUCGAGCACAUUUUUUAGUACUUCAGAUAGCACACAUCACACUAAUUUUUCAAGAGUUUUUCAUUGUAUUUAUCGUAUGGAAAAUAUUGGUAGGAUGCUUGUUUGAAACUUCUGGAUUAUCACAUAAACUUAGAUGCAUUACCUUAGAGGGAAAAAUGUUAGUAAGUUCUUGGGUUAAAUAUGUAGGUGAGGCCAGGCAUGGUGGCUCAUGCCUGUAGUCCUUGCACUUUGGGAGGCCGAGGCAGGUGGAUCACCUGAGGUCAGGAGUUCGAGAUCAGCCUGGCCAACAUGGUGAAACCCGGUCUCUACUAAAAAUACAAAAACUAGCCGGGUGAGGUUGUGGGUGCCUGUAAUCCCAGCUACUCGAGAGGCUGAGGCAGGAAAAUCAUUUGAACCUGGGAGGUGGACAUUGCAGUGAGCUGAGAUCGCUCCACUACACUCCAGCCUGGGCGACAGAGUGAGACUCUACCUCAAAAAAAAAAAAUGUAGGCUGGGUGCGGUGGCUCACGCCUGUAAUCCCAGCACUUUGGGAGGCUGAGGCGGGUGGAUCACGAGGUCAGGUGAUCGAGACCAUCCUGGCUAACAUGGUGAAACCCCGUCUCUACUAAAAAAAUACAAAAAAUUAGCCGGACAUGGUGGCGGGUGCCUGUAGUCCCAGCUAAUCAGGAGGCUGAGGCAGAAGAAUGGCGUGAACCCGGGAGGCGGAGCUUACAGUGAGCCGAGAUGGUGCCACUGCACUCCAGCCUGGGUGACAGAGCAAGACUCUGUCUCAAAAAAAAAAAAAAAAAAAAGA